Molecule: non-coding RNA, 363 nt
Organism: Leptonychotes weddellii (Weddell seal)
Lineage: Eukaryota; Metazoa; Chordata; Mammalia; Carnivora; Phocidae
Source: RefSeq, a predicted model, not a curated record
UGGGAGGAGCCAAGGCCCUGCCCCCUUCCAUAGGGCGAGUCAUUUCCGUCCGCCGAGGAACAGAGAAAGCAGCCGGCGGAGUUGCGGGCAGAGAGCCUCGGGCAGGAAUUCCCUGGUCGCAAGUGGCAAGUGAGCCCCGGUCGGGCACGGCUGGUGCCCGGGAUGGCCGAGGUGGAGGCCCAGGGCAGCCUGUGGCUGGAGAGUCCCCCUGGGGGCGCGCCCCCCAUCUUCCUGCCCUCGGACGGGCAAGUCCUUGUCCUGGGCCGGGGACCCUUGACCCAGGUUACGGACCGGAAGUGUUCCAGAAACCAAGUGGAGCUGGUCGCAGACCCCGGGACCAAGACCGUGGCAGUGAAACAGGUA